RNAcentral lists this ribosomal RNA (496 nucleotides) under uncultured bacterium. RNAcentral describes it as "partial 16S ribosomal RNA". It matches the Rfam family "Bacterial small subunit ribosomal RNA", at positions 28 to 507 of the family's 1533-position model. The record is from RNAcentral.
GAUGAACGCUGGCGGCGUGCCUAAUACAUGCAAGUCGAGCGAACGGACGAGAAGCUUGCUUUUCUGAUGUUAGCGGCGGACGGGUGAGUAACACGUGGAUAACCUACCUAUAAGACUGGGAUAACUUCGGGAAACCGGAGCUAAUACCGGAUAAUAUUUUGAACCGCAUGGUUCAAAAGUGAAAGACGGUCUUGCUGUCACUUAUAGAUGGAUCCGCGCUGCAUUAGCUAGUUGGUAAGGUAACGGCUUACCAAGGCAACGAUGCAUAGCCGACCUGAGAGGGUGAUCGGCCACACUGGAACUGAGACACGGUCCGACUCCUACGGGAGGUAGCAGUAGGGAAUCUUCCGCAAUGGGCGAAAGCCUGACGGAGCAACGCCGCGUGAGUGAUGAAGGUCUUCGGAUCGUAAAACUCUGUUAUUAGGGAAGAACAUAUGUGUAAGUAACUGUGCACAUCUUGACGGUACCUAAUCAGAAAGCCACGGCUAACUACGUG